UAUGGUAGUUUUAGAUUUGAUCUAUGCAUGCAUUAUAAAUUAAAUUAUUUAAUCUAUUUAUAUUCUGCUGUAAAAUUUUAAAAAUAUAUGUAUAAAACCACCAUGCUUCCCUUCACCUGGACCUCUUUUUAUAGCCUUCAUAGCCCCUCAAAGUUAUAAACAUAAUCCAUCUCUUGAUUCCUUACGUAUUAGGACUCCUGGCUUUGUUAAACUUCUCCAUC
This 221-nucleotide long non-coding RNA is filed under the name Elaeis guineensis (African oil palm). RNAcentral describes it as "long non-coding RNA (EGUI_LNC048071)". The record is from RNAcentral. Lineage: Eukaryota; Viridiplantae; Streptophyta; Magnoliopsida; Arecales; Arecaceae.